GCGCGAACCCGUCUCUGUGGCAAAAGAGUGGUAAGAGCUUCGAGUAGAGGUGACAGACCUACCGAACCUAGUAAUAGCUGGUUGCCUGGGAACUGGAUAGAAGUUCAGCCUCAUGGCUUCUCCCUUCACCUCCGUACUAACUUCCUCCGGAUACUGUAAGAAACCAUGAGAGUUAGUCAAAGGGGGUACAGCCCCUUUGAACCAAGAUACAACUUUUACAGGUGGGUAAAGAUCAUAAUAAUUAAGGAAAAAUGUUUGGGUGGGCCUAAAAGCAGCCAUCCCCAUAGAAAGCGUUAAAGCUCCGACAUACUCUUCCUCCUCUUAUCCUGAUAACUUUAUCUUAACCCCCUAACCUUACCAGGCCGCCCCAUGCCAACAUGGGCGUGACCAUGCUAAUAUGAGUAAUAAGAGAGCCCUACCCCUCUCUCCUCGCACACGUGUAAAUCGGAACGGACUACCCACCGAAACUUAACGGCCCCAAACAAAGAGGGUAUUGAAAAAUUACCUAAGCAAACCAGAAAACCAUCCAUCUCCUUACCGUUAACCCCACACUGGUGUGCCACAAAGGAAAGACUAAAAGAAAGAGAAGGAACUCGGCAAACACAUGAAGCCUCGCCUGUUUACCAAAAACAUCGCCUCUUGCAAAACUAAAGAAUAAGAGGUCCCGCCUGCCCAGUGACAACUAGUUCAACGGCCGCGGUAUUUUGACCGUGCAAAGGUAGCGUAAUCACUUGUCUUUUAAAUGAAGACCUGUAUGAAUGGGCAUAACGAGGGCUUAGCUGUCUCCUCUAUCCAGUCAAUGAAAUUGAUCUCCCCGUGCAGAAGCGGGGGUAAAACCAUAAGACGAGAAGACCCUAUGGAGCUUUAGACACUAAGGCAGAUCACGUUAAACAACUCCCAAUAAGGAACAAAACUGAAUGAGUCCUGCUUAAAUGUCUUCGGUUGGGGCGACCAUGGGGAAAUAAAAAACCCCCACGUGGACUGGGAGCACCUUCCCCCUCUUCCCUCCUCCCAAAACUGAGAGCUACCGCUCUAAUUAACAGAAAUUCUGACCAAAAAUGAUCCGGCAACGCCGAUCAACGGACCAAGUUACCCUAGGGAUAACAGCGCAAUCCCCUUUUAGAGCCCAUAUCGACAAGGGGGUUUACGACCUCGAUGUUGGAUCAGGACAUCCUA
Molecule: ribosomal RNA, 1176 nt
Filed under: Kajikia audax (striped marlin)
Lineage: Eukaryota; Metazoa; Chordata; Actinopteri; Istiophoriformes; Istiophoridae
Description: partial 16S ribosomal RNA
Rfam family: Bacterial large subunit ribosomal RNA
Source: RNAcentral